CGGAAGGCCCUUCGGGGUACUCGAGUGGCGAACGGGUGAGUAACACGUGGGUGAUCUGCCCUGCACUUUGGGAUAAGCCUGGGAAACUGGGUCUAAUACCGAAUAGGACCACGCGCUUCAUGGUGUGUGGUGGAAAGCUUUUGCGGUGUGGGAUGGGCCCGCGGCCUAUCAGCUUGUUGGUGGGGUAAUGGCCUACCAAGGCGACGACGGGUAGCCGGCCUGAGAGGGUGACCGGCCACACUGGGACUGAGAUACGGCCCAGACUCCUACGGGAGGCAGCAGUGGGGAAUAUUGCACAAUGGGCGCAAGCCUGAUGCAGCGACGCCGCGUGAGGGAUGACGGCCUUCGGGUUGUAAACCUCUUUCAAUAGGGACGAANCGCAAGUGACGGUACCUAUAGAAGAAGCACCGGCCAACUACGUGCCAGCAGCCGCGGUAAUACGUAGGGUGCGAGCGUUGUCCGGAAUUACUGGGCGUAAAGAGCUCGUAGGUGGUUUGUCGCGUUGUUCGUGAAAACUCACAGCUUAACUGUGGGCGUGCGGGCGAUACGGGCAGACUAGAGUACUGCAGGGGAGACUGGAAUUCCUGGUGUAGCGGUGGAAUGCGCAGAUAUCAGGAGGAACACCGGUGGCGAAGGCGGGUCUCUGGGCAGUAACUGACGCUGAGGAGCGAAAGCGUGGGGAGCGAACAGGAUUAGAUACCCUGGUAGUCCACGCCGUAAACGGUGGGUACUAGGUGUGGGUUCCUUCCUUGGGAUCCGUGCCGUANCUAACGCAUUAAGUACCCCGCCUGGGGAGUACGGCCGCAAGGNUAAAACUCAAAGGNNNNGACGGGGGCCGCACAAGCGGCNGANCAUGUGGAUUAAUUCGAUGCAACGCGAANAACCUUACCUGGGUUUGACAUGCACANGANGCCGGCAGANNUGUCGGUUCCNUUGUGGCCUGUGUGCAGGUGGUGCAUGGCNUGUCGUCANCUCGUGUNNGANAUGUUGGGUUAANUCCCGNAACGAGCGCAACCCUUGNNCUAUGUUGCCAGCGGGUUAUGCCGGG
RNAcentral lists this ribosomal RNA (1048 nucleotides) under Mycolicibacterium mucogenicum. Its description in RNAcentral is "partial 16S ribosomal RNA". It matches the Rfam family "Bacterial small subunit ribosomal RNA", at positions 67 to 1135 of the family's 1533-position model. Lineage: Bacteria; Bacillati; Actinomycetota; Actinomycetes; Mycobacteriales; Mycobacteriaceae. The record is from RNAcentral.